AACAGAGGAUUCUGCAGGUGAUCAGCGCGAUGCGGUCGGAAAUCAGAAAGCUGGAGCUGGAGAACAUGAGUCUGAGGAGGAGAGCUGGAGCUAAUCUCAGAAAGAAUGCAACAGUUCCCAUCAUGACAGCAGUAUGCAGAGAGAGCGUCGUCAUGACAGUGAGAAGAUAUUCGGUCUUCCAGUCGUUGGUCAAUCAUCGGAAUUUGCAGUUGGAAAAUUGUAAAACUGAGCGGUGGACUGGAAAACAG
Long non-coding RNA from Scatophagus argus, 248 nucleotides. RefSeq lists it as uncharacterized. The transcript has 2 exons. The record is from RefSeq and is a predicted model, not a curated record. Lineage: Eukaryota; Metazoa; Chordata; Actinopteri; Scatophagidae.